GGGGAAGAAGCAAAAUAGUAUAAAUUGAGGCAGAGCUUGUAACGGCUUCUCUCGAGCUCUUUACUUUCUUCUUCCGCGAGAGUUGCUCUUCUUUCCUUUCCUCUUCUUCAUCGUCUUCUACUUCCGUCGAUCCGGCUGUGGCGGCACCUGAUGGCGGCCGAUCGAGCUCGUCUACCCGCGCAUGUGAUUGCCAAGGCUUUCGCGAUUGAGUACUACCAUCUGCUUACCCGUACCCCUGAGUUUGUCUUCCGGUUCUACAAGGAGGGAAGCAUGCUCAGCCGGCCGGAUCCUCGAGGUGAAAUGACCUCCGUCAUCGGCAUGGAUGCGAUCAAUGAGGAGCUUCUUUCCGUGGACUACAGCGAGUACGAUGCCGUGAUAAAGACACUUGACGCGCAGGAAUCGCUUGAUGGCAGUGUUACGAUUCUUGUGACGGGGUACCUCACUGGGAAUGAUGGUGUCAAGAAAAACUUUACUCAGUCUUUUUUUCUGGCGACUCAGGAGACAGGAUACUAUGUUUUGAAUGAUAUAUUUCGUCUUCUUGAUGAGGCUAAUGAUCAACCGUCAGUUAGUGCUUGGACAAGUGGAGAUAGUGAACCUCUUGCUCCUGAACCGGCUGAGCAACUGGAACAAGAGAAACUGGAUGAAGCUGAAACUAUUGAUCCUUCAGCUGAGAUUUCUUGUAGUGUCAAGGAGGAAGUGCAAGCAGGAAAAGGGAUUGAUGAAAUUUCUAAAAGUUUGCAGGCAGUCACUCUGAAUCCUAGUUCUUCUACUACUCUGGAAGAGUCACCACCAAGCAAAUCAUAUACUUCUAUUGUUAACAUCAUGAAAGAGAAUCCUACUCCACCUGUUUCUCUGCCCGUUCCUUCUAAACCUGCAGUUGUAAGCAUUGGCCAACCAGCAUCACCAACUUCAAUACCAGCUCUUGUGAUUGAGAAUGCCUCUGGUAGUCCUAAUACCACCGAUAGCUACAGUAGUCCAGAACCAGAAGCUGUUGGCUAUUCAAUCCACUUAAGGAAUCUUCCUUUGAAUGUCACACCUGAACAACUACAUGAAGAAUUCAAGAAAUUUGGACCUAUAAAACCUGGCGGGAUACAAGUCAAACUUUUGAAGCAAAAUGGAAUUUGCUUUGGUUUUGUGCAUUUUGAAGUGGCUGAUGCUGUUGCAAGAGCAAUAGAGGCUUCCCCUAUAACAAUAGGAGGCCAGCCUACAUUUGUCGAAAAAUCAAGGUCUAGAAAUUCAAGAGCCAGCAACAGAGGCAUGUACAGAAAUGAGGGGAUUAGAUGGCGGAGAAGUGCUGGUGCCAUGAGAGGGUUUUAUGGCAGAAGCGAGAGCAGUAGGACUGACUUUGGCCACGGAGGUGGCAGUAGGUCAGGAUGAGGUUGAACCAAAGAAUUGAGCAAGGAUCAUCUGGUGGUCGAGGGAAUUGAUGUGGACCUACAAGUGAUGAAACAUGUGGCAUACCUCAAGCUUUGUUGGCUCCAUCCUUAAAUCGAAAGGCUACACCCUCUACAUGGCUAGCCACUUUUACUUUUGUCUCUGCAAGUGGGUGAUGAUGAAUCAAAACACCUGGAAACUUCAACAAGUGAUGAAGUCAGAGAGAAGUGUCUUAUCCUUUCGACUAUCCCUCAUUUCUGAAGAAAUUUGGUGUUGGCCUAGGGACAGGUUGGCAGGGGCGCUGGGGGCGAGCGAAUCGCCUUUUGCCACAUGAAGAAAUUUGCUUUAUUUAGAAAUCAAAGGAGAGCUGAUUUGGACAUGAGCCAACACAUAACGUGACCUACAUCGGAUGGGUCCUCGAAAGCAUACCACAAGAGAUCAUAGACACCCAUGAGCUGCAGACAAUUACUUUUGUUCACCGGCGAGAAUGCCAGCGCAAUGAUAUUGUGGAUUCGCUUGUAAGUCCAGAAUUUUCAGAUGAUGGUAGCACAAAUGGGGCUGUUGACUCCGACCCCCAUUUGAAUGAUCAAGAUCUACAAGAAUUCUUGCACUUGUUGAGAUUGUCCGGAAGUGGCCUCAAGAUAAUGGAGGCAGGACAGUGGAGGAAGCUGGCUCGCUGACGUUUUGGAUUAUGUACUCUAGCUCUCAGCAAAUAAAGAAUGGAGUUAAGCUUGUCGAGUUAUACUGGCAACUACUUUAAUCAUUUAUCUGGUGUUUCUUGGGACUUACUUUGAACUGAUAUUGGAAUUGAUUACUUUAUGAGGUAUGGCAUUAUCAUCUGUAUUAGAAUUUAAUUUGGUAUCUACCACAAAUAUGCUACAUUAUAUGAAGAAUUAUAUCUAAUUGCUCAUGAAAAAAUGAGUCCCA
Molecule: RNA transcript, 2301 nt
Organism: Zingiber officinale
Lineage: Eukaryota; Viridiplantae; Streptophyta; Magnoliopsida; Zingiberales; Zingiberaceae
Gene name: nuclear transport factor 2-like
Exons: 12
Source: RefSeq, a predicted model, not a curated record